This 73-nucleotide transfer RNA is filed under the name Aeromonas rivipollensis. RNAcentral describes it as "tRNA-Val". It matches the Rfam family "tRNA". From Rfam's summary of the family: Transfer RNA (tRNA) molecules are approximately 80 nucleotides in length. Their secondary structure includes four short double-helical elements and three loops (D, anti-codon, and T loops). Further hydrogen bonds mediate the characteristic L-shaped molecular structure. tRNAs have two regions of fundamental functional importance: the anti-codon, which is responsible for specific mRNA codon recognition, and the 3' end, to which the tRNAs corresponding amino acid is attached (by aminoacyl-tRNA synthetases). tRNAs cope with the degeneracy of the genetic code in two manners: having more than one tRNA (with a specific anti-codon) for a particular amino acid; and 'wobble' base-pairing, i.e. permitting non-standard base-pairing at the 3rd anti-codon position. Lineage: Bacteria; Pseudomonadati; Pseudomonadota; Gammaproteobacteria; Aeromonadales; Aeromonadaceae. The record is from RNAcentral.
GGUCGUUAAGCUCAGCUGGGAGAGCACCUACCAUACAAGGAGGGGUUUACUGGUUCGAGCCCAGUAACGACCA